This 253-nucleotide ribosomal RNA is filed under the name uncultured bacterium. Its description in RNAcentral is "partial 16S ribosomal RNA". It matches the Rfam family "Bacterial small subunit ribosomal RNA", at positions 524 to 776 of the family's 1533-position model. The record is from RNAcentral.
UACGUAGGGUGCGAGCGUUGUCCGGAAUUAUUGGGCGUAAAGAGCUUGUAGGCGGUUUGUCGCGUCUGCUGUGAAAAUCCGGGGCUCAACCCCGGACUUGCAGUGGGUACGGGCAGACUAGAGUGUGGUAGGGGAGACUGGAAUUCCUGGUGUAGCGGUGGGAUGCGCAGAUAUCAGGAGGAACACCGAUGGCGAAGGCAGGUCUCUGGGCCACUACUGACGCUGAGAAGCGAAAGCAUGGGGAGCGAACAGG